UCCCAGUGGGGUUUGGAUCAGCGUGUUCUGGAACAUUCUCAGUGGGUCAGGUCUGUGUCAAGAGUGUGGUGGAAACGAAAAGAGAGAAGGUGGAGAGAACAGUGGGGAGAUGGAGGAGCAAGAGUGAAGGUGAAUACCAGAGAGAGCAAGUGUGUGCAGACAAGCUCACGCGUUCUUCCAUCGAUCCUCAGCAUCGCUCCCAAAACAUUUUGCACUUCCCGAGGAACAAGCUGGAUCCAUUACCGCAGUUGUCCUGCCUGUGCCCGCAUAGCGCCUCUGCAACAAAAGGGAGCGAAUCCUCGGGGCUCGCAGCCAGGUCAGUCGUGGCAAACUGAUGUUACUGAAUUUGCAGCGUUUGGCCGACAAGAGUACAUUGGUGUGUCCAUGGACACCUGUUCAGCACCGUUGUGGCUACAGCUUUGACCUCAGCAAACGCAAAAGCAGGAAGGCGUCCUUGAUUACAAGCCUUUGCUGUCAUGGGAGUUCCUACCCAGAUCAAACAGAUAAUGGCCCCGCACACCAUUCUGACACUCCUGCAACCUUCCUCGUCCAGUGGAAGGUGCAACCCCUGUUCGGAGUCCCUUAGAACUCUACUGGCCAGGCAGUUAUGGGGCGUGCACACGCACCUUGAAAAGCCUUUUGCCCGUUCUGAACAAACAAGGGGAAUUGGUGUGGGUGCAGAAGAGGUUUUGAUGAAGGCAUCGUAUGUGCUGAACUGGCUUAAUCCUAAAAGUGAGACUGAAACGGAACCUGUUGUUAUGCACCAUAUCAACAAUGUCAAAGGUCUUUCCGAAGAAGUACCUAAGGUAACCAUAACAGCUGGUGGAUUCAGCGCAGUGGGUGAGGCCUUGGCUGGCCAGCAAAGAAGAGACCGAUUGCAGUGGUGAUGACCCUGACCCUCAGACGUGUUGUCGCUUUCAGCAGCGGAUGCAGCCGGUGUUGAUCUUUGCAGAACAGAGCAGCGAUUAGUGGUUUGUUAUCGGCCAUGGCCACGGUUGUGAAGUUUGAUGGGAUGUGUUGUUUGAACUUCAAAGACCAUUCAGAAUCUAUACAUAAAAAGAUAACAGAUUUGCAGAACAUGAAAAUAACAGAAGAUGUUGGUUUUUUGGGUUGGAUGCGUUGUUUGGUUAAAAGGAAUAUCGAAAACAGGUCUGUUCUUGUUAAGUGUAAUUGAAUUGGCUGUAAUAUUCUUACCCUGUAUUUCACACAGUCUUCAAAGCACAAUACGGCUUGUUGUGAACAUUCUCUUAAAUGAAAGAGGGGGAGAUGCAGUGGCAGAGCCCCCCGGGGGGAUGGGGUCGUCGCCAGCCCGGCCAGGAGGUGAAGCCGGAGACCAAAGAGACAAAAGGAAUCCUGUAAGAGGGUACCAGCCAAUGAGCAAUCGCCGACACGCGCGUGCAGAGCGCGUGGACAGUGCGUGCAGCCAAUCACGGUACUGGAUAGCGCGUGCUGUAACCAAUCACGUUGUUGCACGGCGUGUGGACAGGGCAGCUUUUGGCCCAAAGCCAGCGUGGUGGGGCGGUCAAGGUGAACUCUGUGAACAUCACUUGGUGUGUCCGGUUCCGUCUCUCGCAUGGCAGCGACAUUGAACGGCCGCAGUUUCCUGUGUUUUGGUGACCCAAACUCUCCAGUGCACAGGACGGUGAUCCUCUGUGCAGCAACAAGGCCUGUUAGCACAGUGCAAGUUGGGCUACGUUAAAGCAGUAGAGCAGCACUGGAUAAUGGGGGGAGGAUCAAUAAGUGUGUUAAUGACCUGGAUCACGGGAGGAACGUGUAUUGCAGUCCAAGAGUACGUGGACUUCCUAUUUUCUUUCAUUCUUUGAUGCUGUGUUUUUAUAGAAGACCUACAUGCUUGUAAAUGGGAUUUGCUAGAUUAUAGUAGCACACUGCAGAAAUGAGUCAUCUCUCUGCAGAAUCUUUCUGGGGCUUCUGCCUGUGAUCCUCUGAGACAGGCAGUUCUUCCCAAAUUAUUUACUUCUCCAAAGUAUUUAAUUCGUAGCCUUAUGUUGCAGAACAGGGAAGCUCCAUCCGGUGUGUCUGACCUGUGAUGCACUGAGCAUGCAUCGUGCUUAAUGCGCCAGAAGUUAUGUUCUGGAUUCAUUUUAAUGAGAGUAGAUGGUUGGAUGGGUUCUUAUCACACUAAACAAAUGCAUCUCACAACUUUGGAAACUCUCUCAUCUCUUUUGAUCAGCCAUCUCUAUUUGUUAAUGCUGAAACAACAGGAACUCUUGUUUAACCUGUUUUCCCACUCUCCAUUCUCUAAGCUGAGAGACUGCGCUGAGGCGCUGCUCACAGAGUUGUAUUGAAACAUCCAUAAACACCAGGGAGUUCAGAGCUUCUCAGCUGUGGAACACGGGUGAAUUGGGCUUCUACUGUUUGCUUCUUUGCAGAAGAACCCGCAGCACAAGCUGGAACACAAGCACAGUUCAC
Long non-coding RNA from Columba livia (rock pigeon), 2430 nucleotides. RefSeq lists it as uncharacterized. NCBI's taxonomy places the organism in Eukaryota, Metazoa, Chordata, Aves, Columbiformes, Columbidae. The transcript has 3 exons. The record is from RefSeq and is a predicted model, not a curated record.